RNAcentral lists this ribosomal RNA (497 nucleotides) under uncultured bacterium. RNAcentral describes it as "partial 16S ribosomal RNA". It matches the Rfam family "Bacterial small subunit ribosomal RNA", at positions 28 to 507 of the family's 1533-position model. The record is from RNAcentral.
GAUGAACGCUGGCGGCGUGCCUAAUACAUGCAAGUCGAGCGAACAGACGAGGAGCUUGCUCCUCUGACGUUAGCGGCGGACGGGUGAGUAACACGUGGAUAACCUACCUAUAAGACUUGGAUAACUUCGGGAAACCGGAGCUAAUACCGGAUAAUAUAUUGAACCGCAUUGUUCAAUAGUGAAAGACGGUUUUGCUGUCACUUAUAGAUUGAUCCGCGCCGCAUUAGCUAGUUGGUAAGGUAACGGCUUACCAAGGCAACGAUGCGUAGCCGACCUGAGAGGGUGAUCGGCCACACUGGAACUGAGACACGGUCCAGACUCCUACGGGAGGCAGCAGUAGGGAAUCUUCCGCAAUGGGCGAAAGCCUGACGGAGCAACGCCGCGUGAGUGAUGAAGGUCUUCGGAUCGUAAAACUCUGUUAUUAGGGAAGAACAAAUGUGUAAGUAACUAUGCACGUCUUGACGGUACCUAAUCAGAAAGCCACGGCUAACUACGUG